GGGGACUGGAGGGGUCUGGGCGAAGGGGGUCACGGCCUGGGGGACGCAGCGGGCAGUCCUCGGAGUCCAGGACUGCCAGCACCUGCUGAGCGCGGCUUGAAGACCCCUGACGGGACCUAAGGUGGCCUCUUGCUCACCUUGGAGAAUAACAAUCUCUGAUGUCUGGCAAUAACAGAAAUGCUUCCAGAGGUCUUCUUUCGUCCAUCCUGACAAUGACCAGGGAAGGUCACCAGCACCUCUGGUGGGCGAGAGAUGUGAUCACUUAUUCCGUGUCCCAACCAGGGACCCGUAAGGUAAGACACAGCAAGAUACUCCUUGGAUGUGCUAAGAAAGUGAUCUUCCAUGCCCACUGCCCGCACCUUCAGCCCAGAGCAGAGUUCUUGGGUCCUUGCCCUUGAGUUCUUGCCCUUGAGACUAGCUCAGAUCUCUCCUUUGCUUUCUUUCUUUUUGUUUUUGAAGGAAUUUAGUCCCUGAUCUCCUCACCGGUUAUCACUUUCCAUUUAACAACAAGCCUUUAUUUAACACCAACUGUGUGCCCCGCACUGUGUUCACUCCCAGAGACUGUCCUUGGGCUGCUCACAGCCUGGCAAGGAACAGACUCUAAACACAUCUGGGAGAGUGGCUGCCACCAGUCAGCCUAUGGUGCCAGGUGUUCAUGCUUCCUCUUGCUCAGAACUACUUCUUUGAGCUGGAGUUCCUGUUGUGGCUCAGUGGGUUAAGAACCUGACCAGUAUCCAUGAGGUUGCGGGUUUGAUCCCUGGCCUCGUUCAGUGGGUUAAGGAGCCGGUGUUGCUGUGGCUGUGGUGUAGGAUGGCAGCUGCAGCUCUGAUUCAACUCCCUACCCUGGAAACAUCCAGAUGCCUCAGGUAUGGCCCUAAAAAAUAAUAAUAAUAAUAACUCUUUG
RNAcentral lists this long non-coding RNA (904 nucleotides) under Sus scrofa (pig). RNAcentral's name for it is "lncRNA (ENSSSCG00055005953.1)". The record is from RNAcentral. Lineage: Eukaryota; Metazoa; Chordata; Mammalia; Artiodactyla; Suidae.